UNGGAAUUACUGGGCGUAAAGCGGGCGCAGACGGUUACUUAAGCAGGAUGUGAAAUCCCCGGGNUCAACCUGGGAACUGCGUUCUGAACUGGGUGACUAGAGUGUGUCAGAGGGAGGUAGAAUUNCACGUGUAGCAGUGAAAUGCGUAGAGAUGUGGAGGAAUACCGAUGGCGAAGGCAGCNUCCUGGGAUAACACUGACGUUCAUGCCCGAAAGCGUGGGUAGCAAACAGGAUUAGAUACCCUGGUAGUCCACGCCCUAAACGAUGUCGAUUAGCUGUUGGGCAGCAUGACUGCUUAGUAGCGAAGCUAACGCGUGAAAUCGACCGCCUGGGGAGUACGGUCGCAAGAUUAAAACUCAAAGGAAUUGACGGGGACCCGCACAAGCGGUGGAUGAUGUGGAUUAAUUCGAUGCAACGCGAAGAACCUUACCUGGUCUUGACAUGUGCGGAACCCUCCAGAGACGGAGGGGUGCCUUCGGGAGCCGUAACACAGGUGCUGCAUGGCUGUCGUCAGCUCGUGUCGUGAGAUGUUGGGUUAAGUCCCGCAACGAGCGCAACCCUUGUCAUUAGUUGCCAUCAUUAAGUUGGGCACUCUAAUGAGACUGCCGGUGACAAGCCGGAGGAAGGUGGGGAUGACGUCAAGUCCUCAUGGCCCUUAUGACCAGGGCUUCACACGUCAUACAAUGGUCGGUACAGAGGGUAGCCAAGCCGCGAGGUGGAGCCAAUCUCACAAAACCGAUCGUAGUCCGGAUUGCACUCUGCAACUCGAGUGCAUGAAGUCGGAAUCGCUAGUAAUCGCAGGUCAGCAUACUGCGGUGAAUACGUUCCCGGGUCUUGUACACACCGCCCGUCACACCAUGGGAGUGGGGGAUACCAGAAGUAGGUAGGGUAACCGCAAGGAGCCCGCUUACCAC
RNAcentral lists this ribosomal RNA (914 nucleotides) under uncultured bacterium. RNAcentral's name for it is "bacterial SSU rRNA". It matches the Rfam family "Bacterial small subunit ribosomal RNA", at positions 545 to 1460 of the family's 1533-position model. The record is from RNAcentral.